RNAcentral lists this long non-coding RNA (4630 nucleotides) under Phaseolus vulgaris (common bean). RNAcentral describes it as "long non-coding RNA (PVUL_LNC001261)". The record is from RNAcentral. Lineage: Eukaryota; Viridiplantae; Streptophyta; Magnoliopsida; Fabales; Fabaceae.
AACCUACUUUGUGAUUUUGAGUCAGUUGAGCACCCAUCACAUUCAUGUGAAAACAUUUGGGAAAUUGCUGAUAAAGAACUUGGAAAUAUAGAUCCAUACAGUCUGUUUACACCACCAUGCCAUGCCAAUGUUAGUCAGUUAAGUCGGCUGGUGAGAAGAAAGAAUGUAAGUGCGAACAUAUUUUAAAUUCGUUAUACAGUGCAUGUGACAGGUUUGUAGAACAUAUCAUUAUUAUUGAUGUGUUAUGUCAUGCUACAGAGAAUUGGUAGACUCGGUCUCAGUACAGAGUAUGAUCCAUGCACUGAAAGGCACUCCAUUGUAUACUUCAAUCGACCUGAGGUCCAAACAGCUCUUCACGUUGAUCUAGAUCAUAAGCCUGCCACAUGGGAGACCUGCAGGUGAUGAGAUGAUCACUAUUGAGGCACUUGAAAAUUUUCUAUCUGCAUCCACUGUAUUUGAUGUGAAUAUAAAAGGUUUGGAUUUAAAAUAAAAAUAUAGAAGGAAAAAAAAUAGGUGUAAGCUCCAAAUACGGUUCAUGUGAACUGGGAUGGGAAAGUGUUUAGAAUGUUACAGGUGAAAAUUUUCUCUCCUAUGGCAACAUCCACCCCAAAUUACACUAAUGAUCCCUUACCGUCUCCACCACACUCCACGUAUGUCAUAUUCACCUUCUCUUUCAGAUUCAUGCAUUCUCUUCAUCAUUUCAUUGCUGUCAAGUGUUCAUUUUGUUUGAGAAACAAUGCCACAUUUCUCAUGCAUAACUUCCCCCUACUCUUUGACUACAUUCUUAACUCAUUCUCUGCCUGUAUGAUUUCUUAUGGUACUUUUUAUGCCACAUACUUAACAUUUAUCAAUGUACGAAUGAUGUCAUCAUGCAUCCUUAUUCGUAUAAAGCCUAUAGCAAUUGUCUUACAAGAUGUGUCACUUCCCAUCAACACGUUAUGACUUUCCAACUCAUCAAAUAUGGUAAACCAUUCCCUUCAAGCUAUCAAGUGAAGAAAGACCAAGACAAGAUGAUAAGCUUCUUGGUUAGGUUCUUGGCUUGUAUCUUGGUGUUUAUGGUUAGGUUGUGAUUUGACUGAGGUAAGGAAGGUUAUAGGAGGAUGUGUAGACUAUCUUUGAAGGGUUCUUGAGAUUUUAGGAUAUGUUUUUGGAGGAAAUCUUGGAGGUUUCCUUGGUGAGGGUUGGCAGAAGCAAGGGCAAACAAAAACUAGGUUCUUGGUUGGUUUUUCUUGGAAUUUUGGUGUUUUUGGUCAUCUAAGGCAAGGGCUGGUUGGACCUGGUUUGAAUUAUAGGACCUUUCUUUAAGGUUGAUCGAGAGAUCACUAAGCUAGAAGAUGGUUUGGAAAGGUGUUCUUGGUGUUUCUUGAAAGGUUAUGGUGUGGGUGGUUUCGCCAAAUGCUUGUUUAGUAUUUUGGUGUGUCUUGGCUAGGUUUGGGUGGUGGAGAGAUAAGGAAUGGAAGCUUAGAAAGAUAGUAUGAUAAAAGCAAGAAAUAGAAUGGAAAUAUGAUUGAGGAUAUGUGACAAUGAUGAAUGGAAAGGAGUAAGAUAGGGUGGUGGUUUACGUUGCCAAGUGUACACAGUUCAAAUAGUUGGAAAGACUCUUGACUCUUGGCUCACUCUCUUGAAUGCUCCAAGAAAAGCAAAGAGGAAGAGAGGUCACUUAAGAAAACUCAACUAAGAUGAAGCUCACUCUCUCACAAAGAAACACAAAAUGGCUUUCAAAGCUCUCAAUUUAAUUUCUAUUCAAAGUUUGUUUACAAUGUGCUCAUACGAGUUCCUUUUUCUAAGGUCUUGGUCAUGAACAUCCAAAACCUUAUUUACAAUGUGAUACAUGUAUUACCACCUUGGUGUGUUAGCACACACCUUUAUUUAUAUUCUACCCUAGAAUAAACUAUAUUAGGAAUUACUAUCCUAUGCCUUUUUUCAAGCAAUAAUUCUUAAACAUUUAAUUAUUUUUAACUUGUCUUCUUGAGACUUUUUCUCCAAGUCCUUCUUCAAUUGAAGACUCUUUCUUUAUUCUCAGCAAAUGCUCCCUUAUGAUAGAAAGCUAACGCACUUCUAACAACCUGAACAAUUACCUCACUACCCAUCCAUAACAUGAACUAUCAUUGUUUAAUAGUUUUGGGCGAUAAAACCGUAAAGGCUUAUUUCCAUUAGGGCCCUGUUUCUUAACAUGAAGCCACUUGAAUUUUUACUUUACACCACCAUUGUUUGGACAUCUCAAUUACCAACCAAGUAUGACUUGGAUUUUCACACUGGUAUGUCACUGCUUAAACUUUUCAAUUUACUACGCAUAACUUGACAUAGAAGAUAUUCACCAAUCGAAAGGGGAGAAACACCAAGGAGACUUUAACCAAAUAAGUCAUGAGUCGAUACACAAGAAAACAUUACGCCACCUUCAACUCAAAACCUUUAGGCAAUAGGUUUGUGUGUCUUUCUCACUAUAUGUUGCUCAACUUGUCUAUCUCUACAUAAUAUGGGAUUUCAACUCACUUAACACCAACAAUACCCCCCUCAAAUGAGUCCUUUUCACAUUAGUAUGCUCCUUCUCUAGCAAAAGUAUUUCUUAGCACAAAUACCUCAAUGAUGACCAUUAUUUGCUCUACUAUUUACAACAACAGGAUACGUUGCUUGAGUCCCUGCCUAGAAAACUUUCAGUAAAAAAUGAUCCAUCACCCAUUCUAUUGUACUCGUUUAAAACGCUUUCCAAGAGGAACCAUUGACAUUAAUAUUCAAAAUCCGUUUAUACGACGAAAAAUUCUCACUUAGAUACUGUUGUUGUUGACAGUAUCUUCAAUUGGUGUGAGACUUUGGGUUUUUCCCAAUACACCUCAUGUUCAACACUUUGAGCUUGGUAUGUAUAUAACAUGGCAAGUGACUUUUUUUUAAUUGGAUCUAGGAAAUGCUCUUUUUCCCAAGUAUAGUGUGGGGUUUAUAAGGCUUUGGUCUCUCCAACUACCUUAUCUUGCUUUUAUGAUGUGGUUCUCUCAAGGUUCUCAGCCGUGUCCAAGUCAUUUUACUGUUUUUUUGUUAAUCUUUUUCUCAAUCGGUUCCAAACUAGUCUCUCCUCAUGUACAAACAUAUCUUGUCGUGUCAUUUCUCAUAUGGCCACACAUAUGUCUUGAUAUUCUCAUUUCUUGUUAUUUUUACUACUUCCACAUUAAUAAUUUAAGAAUCCCUGCAACUAUAUCAUUCGGAGAUUUUGAUAACUGGUAGCAACUUUAGGGAUUGUAGGCGUAGCAUAAAAUGUAUUGUCGUACCUUUUGUUUAUAUCUCUCUCUAUUUGCACCUGUGUGGUUUCUUUUACCAAACUUAACAGACAACACAAUCCUCUUAUUCUCAUUUUUGGCAGUGAUGUGGUAUAUACAAACUGGAAGGAUUCUCCAAGAUCAGUGCUCGAUAUUUAUCAUGAACUUAUUGGAAUGGGACUGAAGAUAUGGGUGUUCAGGUUAGUGUUAUUUUCUUAUAUCUAGAUGUAACCCUAUAGUUACAAAAACAUUCCUUUUUAGUCCAUAUAGGUAAAAGCAUCCCUUUUAUUCUUACAUAUACCGUUUUAAAUUUCGCUCUCCCUAUACAUAUUAUUUUUUCAUACACAUACCGUUUUAAAUCUCUCCCUAUACAUUUUUUUAUAAUUCCUUCAUCCCUACGAGAAGGAAUAAAAGGGAUUAAAAAUGAUAUAUGUACAGACUAAAAAGAAAUUAUUUGAAGUAUAGGGACUAGAAGGUAAAGUUUUUGUAACAAGGAUCAAAUGAUUGAUUAAACCUAAUACCUAUAUAUGUCUUUAUACGCGUUUACUCGUUUGUUUGAUGUCAUACAUAUAUCUAAAGUGAGCUAGGAAGAGCUUGAAAAUUCUCAGCAUCUGUUACGUUGCCUCAGACAAUUUGCUAAUUACUUAUGAUCUGAAAAGAUUACAUUUAAGAUGUAUCCCUCUUGAUCAAAUUCAUGAUUUCACUUUUAUUUUUAUCAGACACUUGAACACCCAUAAAAGAAAAACACAGAAGGAAUACUUAAUAGCAUGUGCUCAAUUAAUCAUCCAGUACAAAAUCAUUUCAAUGUAUUCUGAUUACUAUUAUUUUAUUUCAAGCACGGUAUUAAGGUUUUGUAACUAAAGUGGAAUGGAGCUCAAAUACGUUAAGAACCAUUCAUUCCAUUCUAAGUUAUUUAUUGUCCUUGAUUUCAGUGGUAAUACGGACGUGGUAAUACCUGUGACGUCUACUCGCUAUAGCAUAAGUGCUCUGAAACUCCCAACCUUGAGUCCUUGGCGUGCAUGGUACGAUGAUGGGGAGGUAAGUGAUUGUACAAUGAGUUGGUUUCUCUUAGAUUAUUUAGUGUUAUUAUUACGACCCUUUUACGUGAUAUAAAUGAAACAGGUUGGAGGAUGGACCCAAGAAUAUGCUGGGCUUACGUUUGUGAUUGUAAGGGGUGCAGGGCAUGAAGUUCCUUUGCAUAAACCAAAACUUGCUCUCACACUCGUCCAAACCUUCUUGGCAGGAACAUCAAUGCCCAAUCUUGACUUACUCAGCACCUCUUGAAAUUUACAUUUACUGUUACCACGGUACCCUAUUUUCCAUUUUAAAAACUUCUCUAUUGUUGUAAUCAUCAACUUGGAUAACUUAAGAAAACAAAUUCG